UGCUCACAAAAAUAUUAUCCAACUACAAAUAAGAAUAUUACAAUGUUGGAAUCCAGAGGCCCAUUAAGAAGCCAGGUACAAAACUGAGAAAAUUUGUAAACUAGUAUUCCAAAGGGGAAUAAAAUCAAACGGAAUUAAGAACAAUUCAAAGGCACAUUUCUAACAUAAGAUAACAAAAGACAAAAAGCAGAACACGAGUUCUUGCUACUAGUCAGCUUGGAAAUUCUACUCCUGUUCUCAGUAACACCAUUAAACAUCUUCAAUUGCUCUUGGAACCCAAUCUAGCUUGACAAUUUUAAAUUGUGUAUACCUAGUCUUAAAGGAAAACUCAUAAACUACGAAGAUAUCAUCUCAAGCUGCACUAUAGGUACUGUAAGUACAAACAAAUCCAGCUAAGAGGGAGAAAUAGAAAGGUAAACCCAGAAACGUCUUUGUAUUGUUUUUAGAAGCAGAUAUCAGAUGAACUAUUAUGAUCUCAGCUUAAGCACAUCGCGACCCAUUAGUUUAACAAAUAUGAAAAUGGCAAUAACCAAAUAGAGAUAUUUCCUUAAAAAGAUCCUGCAAUCAAAAUCAGAAAUAUAAUACUGACAACUUCCCACAACUGAUGGAAGAAACCAUUCAACUUUCAGGUAAACAACAAAGAGAUGAUCAAAUGACAAGAAUUUUAAAUUCCAACCCAAAACCCAAAUUUUGGCUAAAUGAGACAAUCCAAACUCACUCUAACUCACAAAACUCUAAGAUCAAAAGAUGACAAUGCGUUCAAUAAAAAAAGGUACAACUGUUUCAGAAACGAUUGUUAGAAUGAAAAUCAAACUGACAUAUAAAAAAUCAGCAUGUGAUCACUGAUCCAACUGAAAACUGACUUUUACACUGUUAGCAAAGAGAUCUAAACAUACUAAUGCACGGCAAACAAAAAUCAGUAUCAAUCAGUUAACGAUCAAAGCUGAAUUGCAAAAAACGAACAAAGACCCGCUACCCAAUUUCCAAGUCCAGGAAAAUGACCGCAUAAUUCGAGCUAAAAAGUCACUCUCGCAGAGUUAACACUCAGAUCCACACACAAAAAUGCAAGCAAAGUUACCG
RNAcentral lists this unclassified non-coding RNA (1080 nucleotides) under Hevea brasiliensis (rubber tree). Lineage: Eukaryota; Viridiplantae; Streptophyta; Magnoliopsida; Malpighiales; Euphorbiaceae. The record is from RNAcentral.